This 1085-nucleotide long non-coding RNA is filed under the name Mytilus galloprovincialis (Mediterranean mussel). Lineage: Eukaryota; Metazoa; Mollusca; Bivalvia; Mytilida; Mytilidae. The record is from RNAcentral.
GUGAUUAUUUCAUGCAUAUCAAGGAUGUGAACCGACUGACCAUUAUACAAUAGGUAGGUUCUGCAAGGAAGGCCUCACAGCAUGAAAGACAUUAUUAUGAUGGAUGAGGGGAAUUAAUUUUCCUUGUAACAGAGCAAAGAUAGAUCUUAUACCAGUACUUUAUUUUAUUUUUUUCGUUGUCUUUUAUACUUUUUGUAGAUCUGAAGAGUUGAGCCUUUUUUUAACUGAAUUUUACCGUUUGUUUUCAUGUAAUGUUCUAACACCACUGUUAUAAAUCAGAAAGGAUACUAGGGUUGAACGUUUGCUAGAAUUUCUAACCACAUUACAUUCGGUAUGCUGCUGUGACAAUUUUGAGUCUCUUUUUCAGUGAUCGUAAUUUGUCAUAGUCCAUCGUAUUUGUUUUCCGUUAAUUGCUUCUUACAUAAACCAGGCUGUUGUGUUGUGUUUUUCGUUUGAAUUGUUUUACAUUUGAUUCUUGUUGAUAUUUGUUUUCCGUUAAUUGCUUCUUACAUAAACCAGGCUGUUGUGUUGUGUUUUUCGUUUGAAUUGUUUUACAUUUGAUUCUUGUUGAUAUCUGUUUUUCUGUUAAUUGCUUCUUACAUAAACCAGGCUGUUGUGUUUUGUUUUGUUUUUUUUUUUUUUGUUUUUUUCGUUAGCAUUGUUUUACAUUUGAUUCUUGGUGAUAUUUGUUUCAUAUCGCAUCCUCUAAAAUUCUUUUCUCCUCCUGUGUAUUAUAUUUCUAAUAAGUACAUAUCCUUUUGUAUAGUUUAUAACUUUUCCUUAUUUUGUCAGUUACGGUACGUACAUUUUCAUAAAGGUAUGUUAUGUAUGUAAAUAUGCAAAUUCGAAUACAUAUUAUGAGCAUUUAUUGCAUUCUUUAGUAAUACGACAUUUACAUGUACUCUUAGUUGACUGCCUCAUAACAUCUGUUUAGGUGACAUCGGUUGUCCUUGAUAUAUCAGCUCUAGCAGACAUUUGUUAAAUUGUAACUCUUUUUAAAACAUAUUCCACGACAGAUCAGGAUGCCGGAAUAAACAUCAAAUAUGACCAAGAUUUAUCAAAUGCCAAUAAAGGACUACUUGAUU